Molecule: non-coding RNA, 366 nt
Organism: Jaculus jaculus (lesser Egyptian jerboa)
Lineage: Eukaryota; Metazoa; Chordata; Mammalia; Rodentia; Dipodidae
Source: the annotation of a RefSeq genome assembly
AUGGACAUGUGGGCCUCAACUCAUCUCCUUGGUCUCCUGCUCCUAUGGCUUUCAGGUGCCAGAUGUGACAUGCAGCUGAACCAGUCUCCAUCCUCGCUGUCUGCAUCUCUGGGAGACAGAGUCACCAUCACUUGCCAGACGAAUCAGAACAUUGGAAAUAGCUUACAUUGGUUCCAGCAGAAAUCAGGCACUUCCCCUAGACUCCUGAUCUCUUGGGCAACAAAUUUGCAAUCUGGUGUGCCAUCGAGGUUCAGUGCUACUAGAUCUGGGAUAGAUUUCACCCUCACCAUCAGCAGCUUGGAGUCUGAAGAUGUUGCAACUUACUACUGUCAACAAAGUAGCAGUUUACCUCCCACAGUGUUAUAA